RNAcentral lists this ribosomal RNA (522 nucleotides) under uncultured bacterium. RNAcentral describes it as "bacterial SSU rRNA". It matches the Rfam family "Bacterial small subunit ribosomal RNA", at positions 95 to 650 of the family's 1533-position model. The record is from RNAcentral.
GUGGCGGACGGGUGAGUAACACGUGGGAGACGUGCCUUUAGGUUCGGAAUAACUCAGGGAAACGUUGUGCUAAUACCGAAUGUGCCCUUCGGGGGAAAGAUUUAUCGCCUUUAGAGCGGCCCGCGUCUGAUUAGCUAGUUGGUGAGGUAAAGGCUCACCAAGGCGACGAUCAGUAGCUGGUCUGAGAGGAUGAUCAGCCACAUUGGGACUGAGACACGGCCCAAACUCCUACGGGAGGCAGCAGUGGGGAAUCUUGCGCAAUGGGCGAAAGCCUGACGCAGCCAUGCCGCGUGAAUGAUGAAGGUCUUAGGAUUGUAAAAUUCUUUCACCGGGGACGAUAAUGACGGUACCCGGAGAAGAAGCCCCGGCUAACUUCGUGCCAGCAGCCGCGGUAAUACGAAGGGGGCUAGCGUUGCUCGGAAUUACUGGGCGUAAAGGGAGCGUAGGCGGACAUUUAAGUCAGGGGUGAAAUCCCGGGGCUCAACCUCGGAAUUGCCUUUGAUACUGGGUGUCUUGAGUGUG